GGGCCUGUAGUAUAGUGGUAAUACGCCGCAUUCGCAUUGCGGAGACGCGAGUUCGAUUCUCGCUAGGUCCACCA
Molecule: transfer RNA, 74 nt
Filed under: Parcubacteria group bacterium CG1_02_41_26
Lineage: Bacteria
Also listed under: 1 other name
Description: tRNA-Ala
Rfam family: tRNA
About the family: Transfer RNA (tRNA) molecules are approximately 80 nucleotides in length. Their secondary structure includes four short double-helical elements and three loops (D, anti-codon, and T loops).
Source: RNAcentral